ACACCGAGGCCUCCGGCUGCCGUCCCAUCAUUGGCGACCACAGGGGCAGCCGAACACACACUCUCGGCGACAAAUAAGGUCGUCGGGCUGCAGCCCCAGCAACGCCAGCAGCAACACAGGCGAGGCUGCUUUCCGCCUUGCUGCUGGAUUUUCGGAUGGGCGUCACAUCCGCCCAUGCUGCAGCCCCAGCUUCAUCGGGCGAGGACGCAUUCCGCCCAGCUGCAGCAGCAGCACGGCAAGGAUCCAUCGGCGACGAGCAAUACCGCCCGGCUCGAGCUCAGCACAUUAUCGGCGAGGCACAAAUUCCGCCGCGGCUCGAGCCCUGCCUCUCACCACGGCGACGUAACAUUCCGCCUCGGUAGCACAACAGGAUCGGCAACGCACAAGUUGCAUCGACUGUAACACAGCAGUCCACAUCGGCGCGAACGCUUUCGCCCUGGCUGCAGUUGAACAGGCGUUGCCAAUUGCGCCUCAGCUACAGCCACAGUGUCCAGAGGGACGAGGUAGCAUGCCGUCCCGGCUGCAGUCGAACGGGCGUCGCCAAUUGCCCCCGACUGCAGCCACAGCAUAAAAGAAGCACGAUGAGCCAAAGCAUCAUAGGAGGGCGAGGAACCAUGCCGCCUGAUUAUUUUCAUCUCUGCCGCCCGUCAUCGAAAAAAAUACAUCGCUGCUGCCCUGGGGCAAGGAUCAUCAUCGUUAUCAUCAUCGCGGCAUCAUCAUCAUCGUCAUCAUCAUCGCGGCAUCAUCAUCAUCGUCAUCACCAUCGUCAUCAUCAUCGCCGUCAUACCAUCGCCGUCACACCAUCGCCGCCGUCCCAGGGAGCCGCACAGCAGCAGCAUCACCGCCGCGUUAUCGCCAUCGCGGUGAGGAUCGAGAGCAGCAGCAAGCGCUGCAUAGCGCGACAACAUCGGGGACCCAAAAUCUCAGCAGCAUCAGCCGGAAGGCUGAUCCACUGCCAAUCGUUCGGCAGGUUUUGUGAUUUUUUGUGCUGUGAAGAUUACAGCUGGCUCUCACAACCGUCCGGAAGUCGCAGUAAUUUGGUAACAUAAAGAUCAUCACCACCGCACGAAGCGCAGCAUAUUGAAGCAAGCCCAAGCGGACAGCAACCACCUGCAGCAAACGUACGCCGAACGAAUGGACGUGGUAGACGCGUUAUGAUUGCAAGGCGAUAUUUGCGCUCUGAAAAUGCUAGCACAGAUGUUUGAGCCACAGAGGUGACGUUCCGAGAGUGUAAAAACUUGCCGGGCCCACAGUUUCAGAUAAGCCGUUCUCAUCAUGUACGGUCGGUUAGUUACACUUCAUAACGAAGGACAAUCACAUCUGGUUAACGGAAUGCUGCCAAAACGAUGAAGCUGGCUUAGCCCUCGAUGACGACGCAACUCCUGCACGUUCGUCGUCAUACUAUCAUUUCAACUGGAGGCAUGUUUGUUUUAGGCGGCUACAACAUGUUGUUUGAACAUGUUGAAUACAACAAACAUGUUGAUAAUGGUGAAUGCUGGAACUCCGUGAUACCCGUUUUCGUGCGCUGAAUAAGGUUUGUAUGAAAAAUAGUGUAUUUUUAGAAUAUUUUAUUUUUCAAUAAAGUAACGGUAAAUUUGAAAUACACUGUG
Anopheles arabiensis is the source of this 1610-nucleotide long non-coding RNA. RefSeq lists it as uncharacterized. The record is from RefSeq and is a predicted model, not a curated record. The transcript is spliced from 4 exons. Lineage: Eukaryota; Metazoa; Arthropoda; Insecta; Diptera; Culicidae.